This is a long non-coding RNA of Oncorhynchus masou masou (cherry salmon), 914 nucleotides long. RefSeq lists it as uncharacterized. The transcript is spliced from 2 exons. Lineage: Eukaryota; Metazoa; Chordata; Actinopteri; Salmoniformes; Salmonidae. The record is from RefSeq and is a predicted model, not a curated record.
CUACUGUAGCAGCCAGCAUGGAGUGGACUGACUGACUCCUGGGGAUUGGUACUGGAAAAACUAAGCCCAAAUUCUUAAAGGAGGACUGGAAGACUUUGAACUGCUUUUGAAAUGGAUAACAGUUUAAGAAUCCUCAAGUGUCACACCUCGCUGCAGCGUAAUCUUUUCGCGUCUCAGCCCACUGUCCAGUCCUGGCCCAUGGGAAUACUCUCUCACAGCAAGUCACUGGUGUGGACCGACAGACCAUGGACCACAGGUCUGCUCUAGUGCCCUCACCUGGCACCAUCCAGCCAUUGCACCUGCUCAUCAUUCUAACCUGAAACCCAGCAGGACAGAGAACAGAAAAUGAUUAACAAUUAACAAGGUUGAUGGAAGAAGUUUGGUUCGAACUUUAGAGUAAUGGAGGAGGUUCCACACUUUUAUUUUCAUUGGAAAGCUAUGUUUCAGUUCUUCGUCAUCUGCCUGGCAAAAAUAUUAGUACAUUUACUUUCAAUUCUCUGUAAAUUGUCUGCAUCUAGCUAUCUAUUGAUUUGAUAGGAAAAACCUUGGCGUACCUCUUGUCACGCCCUGGCCUUAGUAUUUUGUGUUUUCUUUAUUAUUUUGGUCAGGCCAGGGUGUGACAUGGGUAAUUUAUGUGUCUUGUCUUGUCUAGGGGUUUAUUAGAUUUAUGGGGUUGUGUUUAGUAGUUGUCUAGGAAAGUCUAUGGUUGCCUUGAGUGGUUCUCAAUCAAGGCAGGUGUUUAUCGUUGUCUCUGAUUGGGAACCAUAUUUAGGCAGCCAUAUUCUUUGGGUAUUUCGUGGGUGAUUGUUUCCUGUCUUUGUUGCACCAGAUAGGGCUGUUUUGGUUUUUCACGGUUCUUGUUUUGUAACUUGUUCAUAUUUUCCAUCUUUCAUUAAAGGUUUUGUAACACCUCA